RNAcentral lists this ribosomal RNA (468 nucleotides) under uncultured bacterium. Its description in RNAcentral is "partial 16S ribosomal RNA". It matches the Rfam family "Bacterial small subunit ribosomal RNA", at positions 28 to 507 of the family's 1533-position model. The record is from RNAcentral.
GACGAACGCUGGCGGCGUGCUUAACACAUGCAAGUCGAACGGAAAGGCCCUGCUUUUUUGGGGUGCUCGAGUGGCGAACGGGUGAGUAACCUGUGAAUCUCCCGCGUUUUUUUGGGGUAUAUCCUGAAAAAUGCGGGUAUAACCCCUUAUUGGCGCCGGUGCUAGUGGGGGGGGUUUGGACCUUUUGCGCGGGUGGGGGUGGACGCGCGUUUUACUAGUUUGUGGGUGGGAGAGUGGCUCACCCGGGGUUUGGUGGCUAGCCGGCGUGAGAGGGUGACCGGCCACAUGGGGACUGAGAGACGGCCCAGACUCCUACGGGAGGCAGCAGGGGGGAAUAUUGCACAAUGGGCGGAAGCCUGAUGCAGCAACGCCGCGUGCGGGAUGACGGCCUUCGGGUGGUAAACCGCUUUCGCCUGUGACGAAGCGUGAGUGACGGUAAUGGGUAAAGAAGCACCGGCUAACUACGUG